This is a long non-coding RNA of Vigna radiata var. radiata (mung bean), 809 nucleotides long. RefSeq lists it as uncharacterized. The transcript has 3 exons. The record is from RefSeq and is a predicted model, not a curated record. NCBI's taxonomy places the organism in Eukaryota, Viridiplantae, Streptophyta, Magnoliopsida, Fabales, Fabaceae.
UACGAAAAUCAAUAAUUAGUUUUUUAAUACUUAAAGGAAGAAUGUGUUUCUAAAAAUGAAUGUAGAUAUUGGUAGUUAGUUCCUUUUACAAGAAAUUGUUUUUGUUUUUGUUGCUGUAAGGAAAUUAUAUAUAGUAUGCUUUGUUUUGAAAUUUUGUGUUUUAAAUUGAUUUCUCCUAAAUCACAUUUUAAAUCAUUAAUACAACUUCAGAAUACUAUGAUUUUUUUUUUAGUUUAUUAUCAUUAAAACGUGAUCUUAGAAGAGGGGUUUGAAUUGAACAAUAUUUUCUUAGUUUAUUAUGCGUGGCUUCCUUUUUACCUUUCUUUUGCUAAUAUAUUAAAUUAUGUUUCAGUAAUCGACGAACUUGACUUCAUCCACUAGAUUAAGCAAGGCCGAGUCUAUAUUUGAAAACGAUGAACGUUUCAAGGUUGUUGAACGUAACAAAGAUCAUUGGGAUACGUUUGAAAGCUUCUUCGAGGAACCUGUAAUCAAGCACUAUACUGACGUAUGAAAUUUGGGACAAUCUUUUUGAAGUCACAGUUCAUAAUGAAGACCACUAAGUGCUUGUUAUAUGAUGAUCCAAAUUUUGAGGGGCAUGGAAAUCCUUCUAGUGGUAUAUUUAUACUAUAUUUAUUUAUGUUUCAACUAUAACAACCAUGUUAGCCUAUUAGUAGCAUUAUGAGAAAGGAAGUAAAGAUUUGUGGUUCAGGAUAGUAGAAGUUAAAGAAGAAUUUGUCAGUGAGCUUUUAAUGGUUUCUGAUUUUUUUUUAUAUUUGUGGUUUAAUUUGAUUGAUUUUUUUAUCCCCUAA